GAGACGCUCUGCUGAACUGCUAACUCACCCCCACCGGAUCUAAACACCCGGGCUUCUC
RNAcentral lists this transfer RNA (58 nucleotides) under Agama boulengeri. RNAcentral describes it as "tRNA-Ser". Lineage: Eukaryota; Metazoa; Chordata; Lepidosauria; Squamata; Agamidae. The record is from RNAcentral.